RNAcentral lists this ribosomal RNA (633 nucleotides) under uncultured soil bacterium. RNAcentral's name for it is "bacterial SSU rRNA". It matches the Rfam family "Bacterial small subunit ribosomal RNA", at positions 35 to 661 of the family's 1533-position model. The record is from RNAcentral.
GCUGGCGGCGUGCCUAACACAUGCAAGUCGAGCGGUAACAGGUGUAGCAAUACAUGCUGACGAGCGGCGAACGGGUGAGUAAUGCUUCGGAAUCUGCCCAAUGGUGGGGAAUAACCAGCCGAAAGGUUGGCUAAUACCGCAUAAGUCCUACGGGAGAAAGCAGGGGAUCGCAAGACCUUGCGCCGAUGGAUGAGCCGAAGUCGGAUUAGCUAGUUGGUAGGGUAACGGCCUACCAAGGCGACGAUCCGUAGCUGGUCUGAGAGGACGACCAGCCACACUGGGACUGAGACACGGCCCAGACUCCUACGGGAGGCAGCAGUGGGGAAUAUUGGACAAUGGGGGCAACCCUGAUCCAGCGACGCCGCGUGUGUGAAGAAGGCCUGCGGGUUGUAAAGCACUUUUAGUGGGGAUGAAAAGCUCAGGGAUAACACCUCUGGGUCUUGACCUAACCCACAGAAAAAGCACCGGCUAACUCUGUGCCAGCAGCCGCGGUAAUACAGAGGGUGCAAGCGUUAAUCGGAAUUACUGGGCGUAAAGCGUGCGUAGACGGUCAUGUAAGUCGGGUGUGAAAGCCUCGGGCUCAACCUGGGAAUGCCAUUCGAGACUGCAUAGCUAGGGUGCGGAAGAGGGAAG